GCGUAGCCGAGCACCUGGGUCAGUUCGGCGUUGUUGAAGGUGACGCCGAUCCCGUUCUGGCCCAGUGCCACGCC
This 74-nucleotide transfer RNA is filed under the name Kitasatospora aureofaciens. RNAcentral's name for it is "tRNA-Phe(gaa)". Lineage: Bacteria; Bacillati; Actinomycetota; Actinomycetes; Kitasatosporales; Streptomycetaceae. The record is from RNAcentral.